Molecule: long non-coding RNA, 206 nt
Filed under: Lathyrus oleraceus (garden pea)
Lineage: Eukaryota; Viridiplantae; Streptophyta; Magnoliopsida; Fabales; Fabaceae
Description: Pisum sativum (pea) long non-coding RNA (PSAT_LNC037200)
Source: RNAcentral
UUGCGAGUGUGUUAUCCACGUUCUGACGGUAAUGGAUAAUAUAUCUCAUGCACUCUUCAGUUGAAACCUUUUGUGUUUCCCUAGUCGAGUAAGAUUCGUUAUUUCCCUUCUGCGGGGUCGAAUGUUCUUUGUUGUUGGAUAAUUGCCGGAUGCUUGCAAUUUAUCCUUCGAGUUGUCUUUCGUUUACCCGGAUGCUUGGUAUCAAU